This 74-nucleotide transfer RNA is filed under the name Puia sp. RNAcentral describes it as "tRNA-Ile". It matches the Rfam family "tRNA". From Rfam's summary of the family: Transfer RNA (tRNA) molecules are approximately 80 nucleotides in length. Their secondary structure includes four short double-helical elements and three loops (D, anti-codon, and T loops). The record is from RNAcentral. Lineage: Bacteria; Pseudomonadati; Bacteroidota; Chitinophagia; Chitinophagales; Chitinophagaceae.
GGACCCUUAGCUCAGUUGGUUAGAGCGUCUGACUCAUAAUCAGAGGGUCGCUGGUUCAAAUCCGGCAGGGUCCA